AUGAAAAGAGUCUUUGUUUACCAGGAAGCACAACUCCAUGACGACUGCAGAGGCUUUUAAGGAAGCGGGGGGGAAUAAUCACAAAUGGGUUUCUGCCCCCCCCCCCCGGACCCUUUCUAUGACACGGCUUUGAAAAGCACUGAGCUGCUGACAAUGCAGGAGGGGCCGUGUGCAGCCGCAGAAGACGGGUUCUGCAGCAGGACCCCCCCAACCCCCCCCGCCCCGCACCUUCAAGACACCUUGACAUCGCCGGGGUCAACAGGUCCUGCUGAGAGCUGGUGACGCUAACUCCUCCUCUUCCUCCAUCAGCGAGGGAAACCCAACAUCCAUAUCAACAGAGCGUUUUGUUGUUUAACACCAGUCCCAGCGCCAUUUCUAGAAACCCACGGCCUUCCACCUGCACAUGCUCCAGGUUCAAACCAAGCUUUAUUAGCAUCAAGGCAUGUUCAGUCCAUCCUGUUCCCCCCUCCCCCCUCCCUCAGUUCCGGUGUUCACCUAUCAUUCAGGAGAUGCUUCGUCCAGGAGACAUUUUUUAAAGAUGUAGCAAUAAUGACAGGUGGAAAUCCCAACGUGUGUGAGUCCAUUGUUUCCUGUGCAUCCAAUCAGAACCAGAACAAUAAAAACAAACAUUUUACAAGA
This is a long non-coding RNA of Eleginops maclovinus (Patagonian blennie), 639 nucleotides long. RefSeq lists it as uncharacterized. The transcript is spliced from 2 exons. The record is from RefSeq and is a predicted model, not a curated record. Lineage: Eukaryota; Metazoa; Chordata; Actinopteri; Perciformes; Eleginopidae.